RNAcentral lists this ribosomal RNA (252 nucleotides) under uncultured bacterium. Its description in RNAcentral is "partial 16S ribosomal RNA". It matches the Rfam family "Bacterial small subunit ribosomal RNA", at positions 524 to 776 of the family's 1533-position model. The record is from RNAcentral.
UACGGGGGGGGCAAGCGUUGUUCGGAAUUACUGGGCGUAAAGGGCUCGUAGGCGGCCAACUAAGUCGGAUGUGAAAUCCCCAGGCUUAACCUGGGAACUGCAUCCGAUACUGGAUGGCUUGAAUCCGGGAGAGGGAUGCAGAAUUCCAGGUGUAGCGGUGAAAUGCGUAGAUAUCUGGAGGAAUACCGGUGGCGAAGGCGGCAUCCUGGACCGGCAUUGACGCUGAUGAGCGAAAGCUAGGGAGCAAACGGG